CUUUCGCUUCUGCGGCGCUCGUCGGAACCUUUGUCUCUCUGUUCCUCUUCUGAUGGCGUUCUACCCUGGGAACGUGGGUGUGCUACUCCAUGUGGUUUGCAUGAUCAGAGACUGCAGGAUGGAUCUCGGAGAAGACGACUCCUGCUGGGCCUCUAAGGCAACCAUGUAUAGACAUCCACAAUCUUCAGUCUCCUGAUCUCUGGGGUAAGCGUUUGUAUUUUGGCCCGUUGUAGGAAAUGCGUGUUUUAAAGAACUUUAGUUUGAUAGAUGACCUUGGAGAGAAAAAGGGAAGUUAAGGACAGCAAAUAAGCACAAAGGUGGAGGUUACCUACGUGGGGUCCAGAAGGAUGUGGUUUUGUCCUAUUGGCCUUACCCAGUUACCUAUGUCAUCAGUCCUCGCCAUGGUUUUUUUGCCCUUUUCUUCCUGCAAGAUUAAGUCACCAUUCCUCACAUCCCUUUGCUAUCAGUUGAGGAGUGGGUUAAAGAUUCAUGUCCAGCUAGGCGUAGGUAUACUCCCUAUAGUAGACAAGGCCUUUGGGGAUGUUAAUCUCUGGAGCCCUUUAGCCAAAUAUUAAUCAGUAGCCACGUCAAAGAAUGCGUUGAAGCCCAUGUUCUGCACUGACUGAGUUACUAUUUUGCUUCACUAGGGCAUACGGAAUUCUUUGGGUCAGGGAUCAGAUCUGAGCUGAAGCUGCAACCUACCCCACACAACACUGGAUUCUUUAACCCACUGCCAGGCUGGGGGGUCUAACGUAUGUCCUGGUGCUGUAGAGAGGCCCCAGAUGUACUGUGCCACGGAAUUUCCAAGUGGUUAAUGUGAUGACUUGUCUUUUUUUUUUUUUUUUUUUUUUUUGUCUUUUUGCCAUUUCUUGGGCCGCUCCCAUGGCAUGUGGAGGUUCCCAGGCUAGGGGUCGAAUCAAAGCUGUAGCUGCCAGCCUGCCCCAGAGUCACGGCAACGCCGGAUUGUUAACCCACUGAACAAGGGCAGGGAUCGAACCCGCAACCUCAUGGUUCCUAGUCGGAUUCGAAAACCACUGCCCCACGACGGGAAGUCCUGUGACGGCUUUUUUUUUUUUUUUUUUUUUUUUUUGUCUUUUUGCCAUUUUCUGGGGCCGAACCCAUGGCAUAUGGAGGUUCCCAGGCUAGGGGUCCAAUCGGAGCUGUAGCCGCCUGCCCACACCAGAGCCACAGCCACGCGGGAUCUGAGCCAUGUCUGCGACCUGCACCACAGCUCACGGCAACGCCGGAUCCUUAACCCACUGAGUGAGGCCAGGGCUCGAACCCACAACCUCAUGGUUCCUAGUCGGAUUCGUUAACCACUGAGCCAUGACGGGAACUCCUGUGAUGGCAUUUUUUUUUAAAGGAAAGCCAAAUAAAUGUACUUUGUUGGCCUAGUUACUUUUAUUACCCAGAAUCUUUUACCCACGCUUGUGGCAUGUGGAAGUUCCUGGGCCAUGGAUUGAACCUAGUUUUCGGUUUUGGUUUCUUUUUUUUUGGUUUGGUUUGGUUUGGUUUUGCUUUUUCGGGCUGCACCCAUGGCAUAUGGAGGUUCCCAUGCUAGGGGUCUAAUCAGAGCUACAGCUGCCGGCCACAGCCACAGCAACACAGGAUCCUUAACCCACCCACUACGUGAGGCCAGAGACCGAACCUGCAACCUCAUGGUUCCUAGUUGGAUUCUUUUCCGCUGUGCCACAAAGGGAACUCCGAACACAUUUUCUAUUGAGUCCUGAAAUGCCACCUUAAGGGUGGGAUUUCUUGGACCCUGUUUUCCUUGAACUCUGAUCCCGAGUUCCUUGCAUUGAAUCAUCCUGACGCAAAACCCUGCAAUGACAUCUCACCUCAGCACAAGCCAGCCAUUUGCCCACAGCUUUGCCAAGCGCACUGACCUCUCAGAUGUAAACUCAAAAGGUAGGAGUGUUUGUCUUAGCUAUUACUGCCAGCAGCAGCACACUAGAAGUGCUUUGAAUACUACAUGAAAUUGCAGGUAGAGAAUCAGACCAAGUCUAAUUCCUGGUUCAGGGUUCUUCAGAGGCCAAGAGCUUCUUACUGGCAUAUAUGAUGACUGAACUUUUUUCCCCAACAGAUCGACCAUGUUGAUCAAACUCUCUAAGCCAGUUUCUGUCUGAUAUGCCAGUUUGAGCAGCUCUUGUCCUCCACUCCCUUGGGUAUCUAGCUGAUGGAGCUCAUGUUUCAUUGUUUUCAUCUUAGGUUUACUAGUGGCAGAAAGCAGACUUUGAAUGGACUAUCAUUUGGAAAGAAUGGGUAAGUCAUGUCCAUUAACUGUUCCUUUUUAAAAGGGGUUAUCCCCCUCGCGUUCUAAUUACUGUGACCCAAAUAUAUGGCCAUUGCAGCUGAUGACUUUUCUCCCAGUCAGAUCGACCCUGUUGAUCUCACUGAAUUAGCCAGUUUUGUUGAUGGCAUUGGUCACAAAGACAACCUCAGUUUUCUGCUUACCAUCAACAGAUUUUGCUAUGUGGGAAUUGGGCUUGCUUCAAGGGUUUUUCCCCCCCUUAACCAAUCAAGUUAUUGGCUUCAUUUGUUGACUUUCUGCAGGACUAGAGCACCCUGUGUUCCUCAAGGCAAUGAGGAAGUGGAUUCCAGCCUGAUUUUGCCGUCAGCUUGGUUCAGUCUAUCCUGUAACAGGGCAUUUAUCAGCUAUGGACUUGGAAUACAAGGCCUCAAAUGACUGAUCCUGUGCUCUCCAGAGAAAGCAUGACUUGGUUGAUCAGUCUCACAAGAUGAUUCUGCAACCCAGGUAUCCAGAGUUGGAAAAGCCUCUGCCUGCUCUGAAGAAUCAGUUACUGAUUUUUAGCCUCCCUAUGUGGAAAAUAAAGCCCUUUAAAUCAAAA
Molecule: long non-coding RNA, 2849 nt
Filed under: Sus scrofa (pig)
Lineage: Eukaryota; Metazoa; Chordata; Mammalia; Artiodactyla; Suidae
Description: lncRNA (ENSSSCG00025076238.1)
Rfam family: Small nucleolar SNORD12/SNORD106 (bases 2046-2135)
Source: RNAcentral